RNAcentral lists this ribosomal RNA (253 nucleotides) under uncultured bacterium. Its description in RNAcentral is "partial 16S ribosomal RNA". It matches the Rfam family "Bacterial small subunit ribosomal RNA", at positions 524 to 776 of the family's 1533-position model. The record is from RNAcentral.
UACGUAGGGGGCAAGCGUUGUUCGGAUUCAUUGGGCGUAAAGGGUGCGUAGGUGGCGCUGUAAGUCGGGUGUGAAAUUUCGGAGCUUAACUCCGAAACUGCAUUCGAUACUGCGGUGCUCGAGGACUGGAGAGGAGACUGGAAUUCAUGGUGUAGCAGUGAAAUGCGUGGAGAUCAUGAGGAAGACCAGUGGCGAAGGCGGGUCUCUGGACAGUUCCUGACGCUGAGGAGCGAAAGCGUGGGGAGCGAACAGG